RNAcentral lists this long non-coding RNA (466 nucleotides) under Phaseolus vulgaris (common bean). Its description in RNAcentral is "long non-coding RNA (PVUL_LNC002339)". The record is from RNAcentral. Lineage: Eukaryota; Viridiplantae; Streptophyta; Magnoliopsida; Fabales; Fabaceae.
UUGGGAUUCACAACAGUUCAAAGAUAAAUCAACUCAGAAUAAAGUCAAUACGGGUUCAACUCGUGGUGGAGCACUGCACUCCAGAGGUCGAAAAUCACAUACAGAUAUUGCAGUGACCUUGGUAAGUACUUCUCACUGCCUUACAUGAUAUUCAUUUGACAUUUGCAACCUAUACUGCUUUUAAUUGUAUAACAUUAUUAAGAACGUCAACAUGGUCGUCCUCCAAAGCCUGAUGAACUAUUUAUGGCUACCCACACAAACAAGAAAGGUGAAUGGGUUGAUAGUCGUGCUCGUGAAACUUAUGUAAGUUAUUCUUUUAACUUUUUCUAUAUUUAUAUUUUAAUUUCCUAACACUUUCAUUUCCUAAUUAUCUAUGUAGGAAAACUAUCAUGAGCGAUUGAGGGCCCUUCAAGCAGAUAGUUCUCAGGACUCUAGCACUGAUGUCCAUCAACUUGAUCCUGCAACC